Molecule: microRNA precursor, 109 nt
Filed under: Trypanosoma vivax Y486
Lineage: Eukaryota; Euglenozoa; Kinetoplastea; Trypanosomatida; Trypanosomatidae
Source: RNAcentral
GAAAGGAGAAAGGAAGGGAAAAAAAAAAGAAAAGAAAAGAAAAGAAAGGCAUGAGACCGUCAGACGGCCCCGAGUCCUCUCCUUCUCUUUCUCUUUCUCUCACCUUUUU